This 66-nucleotide transfer RNA is filed under the name Sarcophaga kentejana. RNAcentral describes it as "tRNA-Asn". The record is from RNAcentral. Lineage: Eukaryota; Metazoa; Arthropoda; Insecta; Diptera; Sarcophagidae.
UUAAUUGAAGCCAAAAAGAGGCUUAUCACUGUUAAUGAUAGAACUGAGAUUUAAACUCCAAUUAAA